UAAUACGGAGGGUGCGAGCGUUGUCCGGAAUCAUUGGGCGUAAAGGGCGCGUAGGUGGCCCGGUCAGUUCGUGGUGAAAGCGCGGGGCUCAACCCUGCGUCGGCCAUGAAUACUGCCGCGGCUGGAGCACUGUAGAGGCAGGCGGAAUUCCGGGUGUAGCGGUGGAAUGCGUAGAGAUCCGGAAGAACACCGGUGGCGAAGGCGGCCUGCUGGGCAGUUGCUGACACUGAGGCGCGACAGCGUGGGGAGCAAACAGGAUUAGAUACCCUGGUAGUCCACGCCGUAAACGAUGGGCACUAGGCGCUUGGGGGAGCGACCCCCCGAGGGCCGGCGCUAACGCAUUAAGUGCCCCGCCUGGGGAGUACGGCCGCAAGGCUG
RNAcentral lists this ribosomal RNA (378 nucleotides) under uncultured bacterium. RNAcentral describes it as "bacterial SSU rRNA". It matches the Rfam family "Bacterial small subunit ribosomal RNA", at positions 521 to 896 of the family's 1533-position model. The record is from RNAcentral.